GUAUAGCAAUAGCUAGUUGCAUCAUUGUAGAUAUGAUGCAAGAUCGACUAUGUUGAAUAAAAUUCUAGGUAGAAUUAUGAUAAUGACAUUGUCUGCCUAUGUGUCUUGACCAAAUUACGUGCCAGCAGUCGCGGUAAUACGUAGAAGACUAGUGUUAUUCAUGUUUAAUCGGUUUAAAGGGUACCUAGACGGUAGAUCAAGCUUUCUAAUAAGUGAAAAGGACUAAUUUACUAGAGUUACUUAUGAGGGGGUAUUAAAGUACUGCUGGUGUAGAGAUGAAAUUCUGUCAUACCUCUUUUCAAAAGAAAAACCAUGGCACAGGUAUAGGCGAAGGCAUCCCCUUAUGUGAUAACUGACGUUGAGGGACGAAGGCUUUGUGUAGCGAACAGGAUUAGAUACCCUAGUAGUCGAAGCAGAAAAUGAUGAAUGUCAUAGAUUAGAUGUAUAAGUUUAUUCUAUAAAUGAAAGUGUAAGCAUUCCACCUCAUGAGUAAUUUGGCAACAUUGGAACUGAAAUCAUUAGACCGUUUCUGAAACCAGUAGUGAAGUAUGUUGUUUAAUUUGAUGAUCCGCAAAAAACCUUACCACAAUUUGAAUAUUUAUAUUUUUUUAUUGUUUUCUUCUGAUUUUCUUCCUUUWKAUAAWACUGAAUACUGAUAUAGAUCAAAAAAGGAAGAAAAUUAAGCAAGAGGCAAUAAGAUAUAUUUACAAGCGUUGCACGGCUGUCUUCAGUUAAUGUCGCGAGACUUUGGUUAGUUCCAUUAAAUUAACGUAAACCCUUACUUUAUUUUUAUAUAGAGUAGUUCCCCGCUAUAUUGGAUAUGAUAACAGG
Molecule: ribosomal RNA, 831 nt
Filed under: Xanthoparmelia sp.
Lineage: Eukaryota; Fungi; Ascomycota; Lecanoromycetes; Lecanorales; Parmeliaceae
Description: SSU rRNA
Rfam family: Bacterial small subunit ribosomal RNA
Source: RNAcentral